ACUAAAACUAGCCCAAACAACAAUCAACUAAAACUACUACACACAACAAUUAAUCAAAACAUUCAGUCAUAGAAUAAAAGUAUAGGAGAUAGAAAUUUUACUUGGAGCUAUAGAAAAAGUACCGUAAGGGAAUGAUGAAAGACAUGAUUUAAAGUAAAAAACAGCAAAGAUUACCCCUUUUACCUUUUGCAUAAUGAAUUAGCUAGACAUGACUUAGCAAAGAGAACUUAAGUUAAUUACCCCGAAACCAGACGAGCUACCUAUGAACAAUCCACUUGGGGUGAACUCAUCUAUGUUGCAAAAUAGUGAGAAGAUUCCUAGGUAGAGGUGAAAAGCCUAACGAGCCUGGUGAUAGCUGGUUGCCCAGAAUAGAAUUUUAGUUCAAUUUUAAAUUUACCUAACAACUUUAAAAUUUUAAUGUAAAUUUAAAAUAUACUCUAAAAAGGUACAGCUUUUUAGACAAGGAUACAGCCUUACUUAGAGAGUAAAACAACACACAACCAUAGUAGGCCUAAAAGCAGCCACCAAUUAAGAAAGCGUUCAAGCUCAACAACAACAUAAUCUUAAUACCAAAAAUCUCUAAUAAACUCCUAAUAUAAUACUGGGCCAAUCUAUUUUAUAAUAGAAGCAAUAAUGCUAAUAUGAGUAACAAGAAAUAUUUCUCCUUGCACAAGCUUAUAGCAGGUAACGAAUGAAUCACUGAUAGUUAACAACAAGAUAAAAAUAACCUAACCAUGAAACAUCUAUCAAGCCCAUUGUUAGUCCAACACAGGAGUGCAACUAAGGAAAGGUUAAAAGAAGUAAAAGGAACUCGGCAAACACAAACCCCGCCUGUUUACCAAAAACAUCACCUCUAGCAUUAACAGUAUUAGAGGCACUGCCUGCCCAGUGACAUUAGUUAAACGGCCGCGGUAUCCUGACCGUGCAAAGGUAGCAUAAUCAUUUGUUCUCUAAAUAGGGACUUGUAUGAAUGGCCACACGAGGGUUUGACUGUCUCUUACUUCCAACCAGUGAAAUUGACCUUCCCGUGAAGAGGCGGGAAUAAAAAAAUAAGACGAGAAGACCCUAUGGAGCUUUAAUUAACUAACCCAAUGAUAGAAUCACAAACCCACCAACAGGUGCCAACACUACUACUAUCAUAUGGGUUAACAAUUUAGGUUGGGGUGACCUCGGAGAAUAAAAUAACCUCCGAGUGAUACAAACCUAGACUAACCAGUCGAAGUACCAUUAUCACUUAUUGAUCCAAAACAUUUUGAUCAACGGAACAAGUUACCCUAGGGAUAACAGCGCAAUCCUAUUCAAGAGUCCAUAUCAACAAUAGGGUUUACGACCUCGAUGUUGGAUCAGGACAUCCUAAUGGUGCAGCAGCUAUUAAUGGUUCGUUUGUUCAACGAUUAAAGUCCUACGUGAUCUGAGUUCAGACCGGAGUAAUCCAGGUCGGUUUCUAUCUAUUAAACAAUUUCUCCCAGUACGAAAGGACAAGAAAAAUUAGGCCCACUCUAACGGAGCGCCUAAAGACCAACAGAUGAUAUAAUCUCAAUCUGACUAGUCUACCUUCAUUCCAAAGCCCUAGAGAUAGGGCUU
Molecule: ribosomal RNA, 1584 nt
Filed under: Procyon lotor (raccoon)
Lineage: Eukaryota; Metazoa; Chordata; Mammalia; Carnivora; Procyonidae
Description: 16S ribosomal RNA
Rfam family: Bacterial large subunit ribosomal RNA
Source: RNAcentral